CCUACGGGGGGCUGCAGUGGGGAAUAUUGGACAAUGGGGGGAACCCUGAUCCAGCCAUGCCGCGUGUGUGAAGAAGGCCCUCGGGUUGUAAAGCACUUUCAGUGAGGAAGAACGCCUGGUGGUUAAUACCCAUCAGGAAAGACAUCACUCACAGAAGAAGCACCGGCUAACUCCGUGCCAGCAGCCGCGGUAAUACGGAGGGUGCGAGCGUUAAUCGGAAUCACUGGGCGUAAAGCGCGCGUAGGUGGCUUGAUAAGCCGGUUGUGAAAGCCCCGGGCUCAACCUGGGAACGGCAUCCGGAACUGUCAAGCUAGAGUGCAGGAGAGGAAGGUAGAAUUCCCGGUGUAGCGGUGAAAUGCGUAGAGAUCGGGAGGAAUACCAGUGGCGAAGGCGGCCUUCUGGACUGACACUGACACUGAGGUGCGAAAGCGUGGGUAGCAAACAGGAUUAGAUACCCCAGUAGUC
Molecule: ribosomal RNA, 465 nt
Filed under: Vreelandella stevensii
Lineage: Bacteria; Pseudomonadati; Pseudomonadota; Gammaproteobacteria; Oceanospirillales; Halomonadaceae
Description: partial 16S ribosomal RNA
Rfam family: Bacterial small subunit ribosomal RNA
Source: RNAcentral